RNAcentral lists this transfer RNA (65 nucleotides) under Metaplax longipes. RNAcentral's name for it is "tRNA-Ile". Lineage: Eukaryota; Metazoa; Arthropoda; Malacostraca; Decapoda; Varunidae. The record is from RNAcentral.
AAUAUAGUGCCUGAUAAAAAGGAUAGCUUUGAUAGAGCUAAUAAUGUAACAUUUUACCUAUAUUU